RNAcentral lists this ribosomal RNA (468 nucleotides) under uncultured bacterium. RNAcentral describes it as "partial 16S ribosomal RNA". It matches the Rfam family "Bacterial small subunit ribosomal RNA", at positions 28 to 507 of the family's 1533-position model. The record is from RNAcentral.
GACGAACGCUGGCGGCGUGCUUAACACAUGCAAGUCGAACGGAAAGGCCCUGCUUUUGUGGGGUGCUCGAGUGGCGAACGGGUAAGUAACACGUGAGUAACCUGCCCUUGACUUUGGGAUAACUUCAGGAAACUGGGGCUAAUACCGGAUAGGAGCUCCUGCUGCAUGGUGGGGGUUGGAAAGUUUCGGCGGUUGGGGAUGGACUCGCGGCUUAUCAGCAUGUUGGUGGGGUAGUGGCUUACCAAGGCUUUGACGGGUAGCCGGCCUGAGAGGGUGACCGGCCACAUUGGGACUGAGAUACGGCCCAGACUCCUACGGGAGGCAGCAGUGGGGAAUAAUGCACAAUGGGCGGAAGCCUGAUGCAGCAACGCCGCGUGCGGGAUGACGGCCUUCGGGUUGUAAACCGCUUUCGCCUGUGACGAAGCGUGAGUGACGGUAAUGGGUAAAGAAGCACCGGCUAACUACGUG